RNAcentral lists this long non-coding RNA (3072 nucleotides) under Trifolium pratense (red clover). RNAcentral describes it as "long non-coding RNA (TPRA_LNC013957)". The record is from RNAcentral. Lineage: Eukaryota; Viridiplantae; Streptophyta; Magnoliopsida; Fabales; Fabaceae.
AAAAGGGUUGGAAGAAAAUCUAAAAUCUAAAAUUCCUCUCCAACAGAGAAGAAAACCUAAUCGCUGUGAAGAAAACACCAAAUCGCUCUUGUUCCUCGUCUCAACGCCACCACUCUCUCCUCCUCUCAACUUAAUCGCUCUCUUCUUGGAACUCGUUCUUCCUUUUCGAGAUAUCGUUCAUCUGUGCUUGUCUUCAAUCAAGGUAUGCGAUUAUAUUUUUUCUUCACCCUAAUCCUCUUAUCCCUAAUUCUCCCUUUGGUGUUUUCCCCUUCAAUUUGGUGUUUUUCCAUUCUAUUUCGCGCUCAUUCUGUCAUUCUCUCUGUUCAGUUCCACCAAAAUCCUAAUUCCAGAUCCAUUACCACACUGAAAGUAAGACCAUCUGUUAUUUAUAUUUUUGCAUUUUCGAAAACGAAAGUGAAAAUUUUAAUAACAUCAUUAAACAGGUUGCUGUUGGGAAUGGGCAGUGGCGGCGAGGAGGAAUUGGCGGCGCAGGGUUUGUAUGACUGUAAGAUUAGGGUUUGUAUUUCUAACUUAUUACUAUUUUAUUUGCUUAUUUAUUUACUUUUUUUACUUGAUAGUUCUAACAUAAUUUUAUUUGCUUAUUUAUUUACUUGUUGUGUCUCAUAAGGGCCCGUUUGGUGCACAGGAUAAGAGACAUGAUAUGAUAACUGUAUCAUAUCCUGUUUCAGUCCAGUGUUUGGUGACACAACAUGAUAUGAUAAGUUAAUCCUGUAGCUUAUCCUAUCCAGUCUCUCUAGUUAAAAUUCUUACCCUGAAUUUGAGCUGGGUUACCAGUAGGAUAGGAUAAAAAAAAAUUUACUGAUUUUUUCUAUAAAAUAUAUUUUAAAAUAAAAAAAUGAAAAUUAAUAAAAUAUAAAUAAUAAAAUAAUUUGAUAGUAAAUUAAUAAUAAAAUAAUUAAAUAUAAUUAUUUUGCAAUGGUAUUUUUAUUAUUUUCGUAUGAGAUAUAUCAUAUAUUUAUUUAGCUUAUCUAACAUGUAUAUACCAUUGAGUUAUUUAUUUGAUCAUGAUUCAUAUAAAAAAUUAAAGUUUAUUAUUUUCUCAUGUUUUUUAUUUAAAACUAUAUAAAGUUAUUUGAUUACUUAUUUAUAUUUUUUAUUUAAAAAAUUCAAAGUAUUACAAAAUAUUUUUUAAAAAAUAACAAUUGAUUUACAAGGGCAAUUUUUUCAUUUAAAUAUUUUAUAUAUCUUAUCAUAUUAUUAUGAGCAAGUAUGUAUUAAAAACAUGAUAUAAUAGUUAUCAUGUUUGUUAUCCUGUGUGUACCAAACACAAGAUAGGAUAACUAAGGAUAACUGUUAUCCUGUUGAUAUCAUAUCAUAUCCUUAUUCUGUUUUAUAUCAUAUCCUAUCACUAUCCUAUCAUACGCACCAAACGGGCCCUAAUAGUAUAGUAUUCUUAAUUGCUCAUUAGUUUUAUGUUCUGAUUUUGGUUGUCUUUCUUGAUUAUGUUGUUUUAUAUAUAUUUAGCAAAUCUCAUGUCCUAGUCUAUGGAAUGAAAGGAACAAUAGCUGAAAUAAAGUUAUACCUUGUCUAUAUGGUACAUCAAUUCUUUUACUUACCUUGUACCCUUAUUACUUUGUUUUCUGCUUAUGCAAUAUCAAUCCCUUUACUCAUUUGCUCCCUCUAUUAUCCAUUUUAUGACAUUUUUGCCUAUUUCCUUUGUUUAGAGUUGAAAGAAAAACUGUACAAAUCUAAUCGGAAUGAGAAAGUUUUUAAGUUCUUAUUCUUGCUAAACAGUUGAUGUAAGUUCUCAAACCCAACCCUUCAAUUUUUUUAUUCUUUAAUUUCNNNNNNNNNNNNAAUGUGAUUGAAUGACUUGACAAAAUUGUUUUUAUUUUCUUUUAAAGUUUGUGUGCUGCAAUGAUUUUAUUUUUUAGGAUUGACAUAAUGGUGUGGGCAAAGUAAUUUACAUGAUAUAUAUUUGAUAUUUUUUUGUAUUCUAUGAAUGACAUAAUUGUGAGGGUCUAGUGUGGAGUUGAAUGACAUACUCAAGUGGAUUGUUUUAUGCUUCUCAUAUUGUAUGUGGACUAUAUCUAUGGGAGUUUGGUGUGGAGUAUAUAUUGGUUAUGGUACAGGGCUGGUAUGUGGCUUAAAGGUUAGGCUACAUGAAUCAAAGGUGUUGAUGAUGGAUGUCUUAUUUGCUUGGUUUUUCCUGCUAGUAGUUUGGUCGUGUUUUGUUUGUUUCUAGGUGUGCUUCUUUUUUAGUAGAUCAAGGGUCUGGUGUGUCAUGAUUAGAAUUGGAGUAUUGGUAGUAAUAUGUUGGAUACAAUAAGCUAAUUUANNNNNNNNNNNNNNNNNNNNNNNNNNNNNNNNNNNNNNNCCUUUAGUUUUAACUUGGUUUGUGCAAGUAGAAAAAAGUCUAGACUUGUAGAUAUCUAACAAUCCAAUGUUCAAGUAAUUUAAGGCUUAGUUGGAUGUGAUAUUAAUGUGUUUUUAUGCUUUUUAUCCUAUUACUAUAAUUUGAGGUUGAUGUAUGUUUAAUAUUAGGCUUGUUUUCCUAUUAUUACUCAUAUUUGCUACUCUCUUUUUUUCAACUAGUUAAUUCUGAAUCUAUAAGAAAAAUGUGUUUUGUUUUUAAGAUUCUGAGUUGUCUAGCUAGAUGACUAGUGUAUCUUUCGGGUUUGUUUUGUUUAGCCUGACCUUGGUUUUGGAUUUCUGAGAUUUAAUGUUGCCUAUCUUUUUCUCUCUGCAGCUGGGAUUCUGUUUUGAGCAUCUGUUUUGUGCUGGUGGUUUUUGGGCUUGUUUGGUUGAUCUGUUGUUAUGCUUGAGGCAUUUCAUAUUUUUUGGCCUACAUUUAUAUGUGACUAAGGCAACUGAUUAUAAAAGGAUUGCUGUAAGCUAAACAUGCAAAUAUAGAUACGGAUUUAAUGGAUUUAGAUGAAGUAAUAUUUGAUGAUUUUGGAAUGUAGAAAAUUAUUUAAAGUAUGAAAUUUUGUAGGCACCUUCAAGUUAUUAGAACUUCAACCUUUUGGAUGUAUUGAUAAAACUUUGAUAUUUUGUUAUUGAGAUACGUAUAUUUAUGAUGGAAUGAUUGAUGUUUGCAAACAAUUUGUA